Molecule: long non-coding RNA, 2145 nt
Organism: Thunnus maccoyii (southern bluefin tuna)
Lineage: Eukaryota; Metazoa; Chordata; Actinopteri; Scombriformes; Scombridae
Exons: 2
Source: RefSeq, a predicted model, not a curated record
UACAGUUUUAUACUGUUAUAUACAGUUACAUACAGUUUUAUACAGUUACAUACAGUUAUGUAUUGUACGGUAUGUGCAGCUGUGUAUGUUUUAUGUUUGCACUGCUGUAUGUGAUGUAUUGUUACAGUCGUUCCAUCUGUACUGACAUUAAUCCCGCCAGCUGAGCCGAGAGCUAAUAAAAGAAACUUAAUCUUUAAGUUGAAAAUGAAAAAACUGCCUGAUGCUCACAUCUGUUAAUCGGUGUGAUUUCAGCCAGAAGUCAUGUGACGUCGGUGUGGAUGUGUGUGUUGGAGGUGAUGAUGAAAUUCCAGAGGGGGGAGGGCAGAGGGAGGAGGAGGAUUAAUUAAAAAUCUCUGCAGCUUCAGGACCCUCAGAGCGACGCUGAUCGAUGGCGCUCUGUUUUUGUUUAUCUGAAGUGACGGCGGGACGAGUGAGACUGAACCUGAGCUGCUGAUUCUGUUUAACACACAUUUCCAUCUCCACAUCGAGCUUGCAGACAGCAGCUCACUUUCAGCUGCAGGAGAAAAACUGCAUUGAUCCAGUUCUGCUCCAGCUAACGUCUGAUUGGACGCCUCGAGCUGCAGCAGCAGAUUACUGUUCGACCAUUCGGCUGGACUUCAUUACCUGGAGGACUGUCAUGGCUGAUUAACCGUGUAAGGGAUCAGUUUAUAAUCUGGUUUCCUGCACAUUAUGAGACUGUUCCACUGCAACUAAAGACGUUCAUCACUGGACAUCAAGUAUUUGUUUUCUCUCAUUAACACCAGUCUGGAGUUACUGGUUUACUCAUUAUGUGAAUGAAUUUUAAUUGGUUUUGAAAAGACUUUUGGAAGUUUAAAAACAAUUUGAAUAAUCAGAUAUUAUGUGGUGUAUGCAAGAUAUAUAAUAUGAUAUCGUUUGCAAAUAUGAUAACUUUGUUCUCAAACUGAGGCCUUUAUGCACUCAACUGAAGGAUUGCAGAGUUUACACGUUCAAAAUGAGCAUCUUGGACACUUAAAUUACAGAUUUUAUAUUGUAAAUUUAAACAGAUGUUGUUCAUGUGACAUUAACAGAUAUGCAGUUGUAGGUUGAUGUAAUGUUGUAAUAUUAUGCAUUUCUCCAGCAUGUAUCAAUGAGGGAACCCUUUGUUAGCUACAGGGUGAUAAAUAUCUCAAACAUCCAGUCCAAUAAUGGAUUUUUCAGCAAACUAAUUGAAUAAGUAUUACUUCAGUAAAUGUUCAAGCAAUUUCCUAACUGUUAAGUUGAAUGGUAUCGGUAUCGUCUAACAGUUUAUUAUCAUGAAUUAUGAAGAUAUGUAUUCAAUCUGCUCAUUUGAGAAAAUGAACCCAACUUUAAUUUAUCUUAAUUGCCUGAAUAAUCCCCAGGAACUGUCUGCCUGGUUGUCAAUAGUGAUUUGACAGAUCGUUAUUAUUAUCAGACUUAACUGGAAUGUUUCAAAACCGUUGUCCCCGUCUCGUUAUAGUGGGAUAUAUUAUCUUAUUAUACUUCGUUAUUUUCUGUUGUUAUUGUACAGAUUGUUACAGAUUGUGCGUGCUCAACUAAAGGAUAUUGAGGACUGACGUUAACGAUCUUGCCUGCUCAUAUUAAGGGAAUUUGCAGAGUGCAGCUCUUGUGAGUACGUUGGGGAUCUUGCGUGCACAUGUUCAGGAUCUUGCACGUUCAAAUUAAGAACCUUACGAACUCAAAUCAAAGUAUAUGACGCUAAUAAUUUGAGGAUCUUUAAAUUAAGAAUCUUUAGUGCUCAAAUGAAGUGUAAGACGUGAUGUUUUAGAUCUUGAACACAAACUGAGGAUCAUUUUUCUCACAUCUUGUGCGCACGUCGUAGAUUUUAUCCACACAAAUGACAUGUUGCUCACAAUCAUUGUUACUCUGUUCAGCACUCAGCUUUGUUUUAUUGUCUGUGAAUAUAUUGAGAUUUCCCGUCUGACAUCUUGUUACUCCUCAUAUUUAUCUCGACAGUCCGGUUUGGGAACCGCAGCGUAGACGGAGGUAGAAGCAGAGUAAACACAGAGAUGUUUACAUCCACAAGAGCUCAAACACGCUCGAGUGCUUCUGCGGUCGUCCAACAUAAACACACUCGGCCGUCCUCGUUACAUGCAAACACAGAUUAUUGUCUGUAUGUGAGCUGUGAAGUGUUGAUUCAGUCGG